Long non-coding RNA from Cyprinus carpio carpio, 3444 nucleotides. The record is from Ensembl. Lineage: Eukaryota; Metazoa; Chordata; Actinopteri; Cypriniformes; Cyprinidae.
UUAAAGAAAACUGGAGCGGCAGUCACAUGGAGCUUAAAGCUUGAGAGAGCUGAGCAAACUGAAACCAAAAUGGCUGCUCCCUUGCUUAGUCUAGUAAUUUUCAAAAUUAGAGUCCCAAGAGUGAAACCUAAAACACUUAACACAAUGAACAUAACACUCCCCGCCUGACAUCUAUGAAGAUGUCAUCUAUACCAACUGUUUAAAGGAGUUUUCCUAUUUUCUUAGCAGGAGAAUUACUUCAGAUAUAGGCCUCAAGAAGGUUUUGCUGGACCCUUCUUUAGUCACUUUAAGUUCAACCUUUCGAACCUUUCCAUCUUGACCAGGGAAAACACUUGUGACGAGUGCCAUAGGCCAUUCAUUUCGGGCUACUUGAUUGUCCUUUAGUAGUACUAUGUCACCCUCCUCAAUGUUUGGGUAUGGGUCCUGCCAUUUGUGACAAACUUGCAGCGUUUGCAGAUAUUCCUGUUUCCAGCGAAACCAAAAUUGGUUGGCUAGGCUCUGUACUUGCCGCCAUUGGCGUUUGUAGAUAUCCUUUUCAGAGAAGUCUCCUGCUGGAGGUGAAGAAACUGCUUUUUGUGUUAAGAGCAUUGCAGGGGUAAGAAUCAAGGGUGAGUCUGCAUCCAAAGAAACAGGUACGAGAGGUCUACUGUUAAUAAUUGCUGUCACUUCCGCCAUAAGUGUACAAAGCACUUCAUCUGAGAGGUUAGAAUGUCCUUCCCGCAUCAGCAUUGAGUCAAGAAUUCUACGAGCCAGACCAAUCAUUCGCUCCCAUGCGCCCCCCAUAUGGGAGGAGUGUGGUGGGUUGAAAACCCAUGUGCAUCCCUCGUUAUUGAUGUAUCUUUGCACCUUUGUUUCUUUUAUAACUUUGUGGAAUUCAAGCUCGUUGCAAGCACCAACAAAGUUGGUUCCACAGUCUGAGUGCAGUUGUUUUGCAGGGCCACGGAUCGCGAAAAACCUGCGAAGUGCAUUGAUACAACUCGAAGAGUCCAUAGACAUAAUGACUUCAAUGUGAACUGCACGGGUGCUCAUGCAGGUGAAAAGCACCGCCCAGCGUUUACUGAGAGCUUGACCUCCUCUUGUUCGGCGAGCUACCACUGUCCAAGGCCCAAAGACAUCUAAGCCAGUGUAAGUAAAGGGUGGUGACACACUUAGUCGUUCUGGUGGCAAGUCUGACAUUUUCUGCAUUUCAAGUUUACCACGAAGUUUACGACAGGUUACACAUCCAUGAAGAAUACUGCUUAUGCAUCUCUUUCCUCCAAUAAGCCAUAAUCCAGCAGCACGAAUGGCCCCUUCUGUGAAUAUGCGGCCUUGGUGCUCCACACGUUCAUGGUAGUGCCUUAUGAGUAACGCAGAAACGUGAUGCUUACCGGGCAAGAUGACUGGGUUUUUCUCUGGGUAGUUUAAAUCUGCCAGUUUUAAUCUGCCUCCGACUCGGAGUAGACCGUCCUCAUCUAAGAAAGGAUUCAGUUUCGAGAGUGGAACUUUGCUGCUCAGGUGUCCUCCCUUAGAGAGUGUUUCGAUGUCCUUGUUGAAUGAUUCCUUUUGCACAGAGCUGAUUAUCACAUUCUUGGCUUUUAACAACCCACUUACAGUGUGUGCUUGUGAACAAAGGUGCCAACCACUGCAUGUGUUGGAUUCACUGGUGGAUCUAGAAGAGCAAGCUACAUGGAUGAGCGAUGCAAUGGCUCUUUGUAAGGGUUUCCAAGAGGAGAACCUCUGAAACCUGUCAGAGGAAUGCUGGACCUGUAAACCAGUUUGAUUUCACGAGCUGAGAUGCAUGGAUGGACCUGGAAGCAAUGUCAGCAGGAUUGUGCUCUGUGGGUAUGUAUCGCCAUUGCUUUGGUUCUGAAAAUUGUCUGAUUCUCUGCACCCUGUUGUGGACAUAGACGUAGAAACGUUUAGUUUCGUUAUAGAUAUAGCCAAGUACAAUUUUGCUAUCACUGUAGAAGGUAAUAGCAUCCGGUUUGAAGUCAAUCUCUUGAACAAUGAGUUCUGCUACCUCCACUGCUAAGACUGCAGCACAAAGCUCUAAUCGGGGUAUGGUAGGCUGGUUUUUUGGCGUCAGUUUUGCUUUUCCUAAGAUGAAGCCAAUGCUGAUCUGUCCAUCUCCAUCUACUGCCCUGAGAUAUGCUACAGCCCCUAUGGCCUUUGUUGACGCAUCAGAGAAAACACAGAUUUCUUUGUGAAUUGCCUUUGAAUGAGAGUUGGGUGUGUAAGGACAAAGAAUGUGAAGGUGUUGCAAGUCUUUCACUGAAUGCCCUUCAUGAUUCCCACUCACCAUGUUUCUCUUGUGGCAGUGAUUCAUCCCAGUCUGUUCCUUCAAUGGAUAGCUCUCGAAGUAGAAACCUCCCCUGUAUAGUGACAGGAGCCACAAGACCGAGAGGAUCAAAAAGACUAUUAAUUAUGGAAAGGACACCACGGCGUGUGAAUGGUUUGUCGUUGACUGAUACUUUAAAUGUAAAUGUAUCAGUCGCAGUCUCCCAAUUCAGACCAAGGCUGCGUUGUGUAGGCAUAGUUGUUCCACUGAGAUCGAGGUCUUUGAUGUCUUUCGCGUGAUCUUCAGUUGGGAAUGCUUUGAGUACUUGUAGACUGUUGGAUACAAUCUUGUGCAGCCGCAGGUUUGAUUCGGAGAGGGAUGCUUGUGUUCUCUUUAGUAGGUCUAUUGCUUCCUCUUCAGUUGGCAAGGAGAUUAGUGCAUCAUCCACAUAGAAUCCACGUUCCACAAAGUACCGGGUGUCUGGACCGUAUCGCAGAGCACCCUUCUCUGCUGCUCGUCUUAAACAGUAAAUCGCUACCGCCAGGGAAGGGCUGUUGCCAAACACAUGGACUUUCAUCUUGUAUUCAACAAUGUCCUUGUUAAGGUCGUUAUCACGGUACCAUAGGAAGCGUAGGUAAUCUCUGUGAUCUUCUCUCACAACAAAACAGUGAAACAUUUGUUGUAUGUCUGCCAUCACUGCUACACAUUCUUUCCUGAAGCGCAUCAGGACGCCAAUGAGGCUGUUAUUAAGGUCUGGUCCAGUGAGGAGCACAUUAUUGAGAGAGGUACCUUCAUGCUGUGCGCUGGAGUCAAAUACUACCCUGAUCUGAUCUGUUUUUUUGGGAUGAUAGACUCCGAAUAGUGGUAAGUACCAGCAUUCAUUUCCCUUUGGUAGUGGAGCUGCAAGUUCUGCAUGAUCACUGUUGAAUAGUUUUUGCAUGAAAGUUACAAACUGUUCUUUCAUAUCUGGCUUCCGUUCUAGGGUACGUCGUAAGGAAGAGAGGCGGCUCAAAGCUUGAUCUCUGUUGUUCGAAAGAACUGGGCAUGGAGACCUAAAAGGAAGAGGGGCCACCCAACUGUUGGAAUUAUCCUGGAAAACAUCUUUCUCCAUAAUCUUUAGAAAGACUUCAUCCUCGACGGAGAGUGCAGGCUUAUUGUCAUUCUCUGAUCUCUUAAAUAGAGUCUGG